This is a long non-coding RNA of Saccostrea cuccullata (small rock oyster), 272 nucleotides long. RefSeq lists it as uncharacterized. NCBI's taxonomy places the organism in Eukaryota, Metazoa, Mollusca, Bivalvia, Ostreida, Ostreidae. The record is from RefSeq and is a predicted model, not a curated record. The transcript is spliced from 3 exons.
UAAAAGAAGACCAAUUUUCAUCUUGCAAGUGUUUUUGUUUUAUAUACAGAUUAAGGCAGAAAAUAGAUGUGAUACGGAAAACAGCCAAAAGAAAACUUGCUGUUCUGGAUAUACAUUUGAUGAAGUUUCUAAAACAUGCAUUGAAUGCAGAAUUGGAUAUCAAGGACAAAAUUGCAAUAGUCCAUGUCCAUCAGGUUACUUUGGAGAGAAGUGUCAGAUGGUGUGUUCCUGUCCGAACGACAUUUGCAAUAAUAUCAAAGGAUGUAUUUUUG